This 504-nucleotide ribosomal RNA is filed under the name uncultured bacterium. Its description in RNAcentral is "partial 16S ribosomal RNA". It matches the Rfam family "Bacterial small subunit ribosomal RNA", at positions 29 to 507 of the family's 1533-position model. The record is from RNAcentral.
ACGAACGCUGGCGGCGUGCCUAAUACAUGCAAGUAGAACGCACAGUUUAUACCGUAGCUUGCUACACCAUAGACUGUGAGUUGCGAACGGGUGAGUAACGCGUAGGUAACCUGCCUGGUAGCGGGGGAUAACUAUUGGAAACGAUAGCUAAUACCGCAUAAUAUUAAUUAUUGCAUGAUAAUUAAUUGAAAGGUGCAAUUGCACCACUACCAGAUGGACCUGCGUUGUAUUAGCUAGUAGGUGAGGUAACGGCUCACCUAGGCGACGAUACAUAGCCGACCUGAGAGGGUGGUCGGCCACACUGGGACUGGGACACGGCCCAGACUCCUACGGGAGGCAGCAGUAGGGGAUCAUCGGCAAUGGACGAAAGUCUGACCGAGCAACGCCGCGUGAGUGAAGAAGGUUUUCGGAUCGUAAAGCUCUGUUGUAAGAGAAGAACGGGUGUGAGAGUGGAAAGUUCACACUGUGACGGUAUCUUACCAGAAAGGGACGGCUAACUACGUG